RNAcentral lists this ribosomal RNA (2450 nucleotides) under Salmonella enterica subsp. enterica serovar Heidelberg. RNAcentral's name for it is "partial 23S ribosomal RNA". It matches the Rfam family "Bacterial large subunit ribosomal RNA", at positions 470 to 2803 of the family's 2925-position model. The record is from RNAcentral. Lineage: Bacteria; Pseudomonadati; Pseudomonadota; Gammaproteobacteria; Enterobacterales; Enterobacteriaceae.
AUACUCCUGACUGACCGAUAGUGAACCAGUACCGUGAGGGAAAGGCGAAAAGAACCCCGGCGAGGGGAGUGAAAAAGAACCUGAAACCGUGUACGUACAAGCAGUGGGAGCCCCACCACUAAGCCAGUGGUGAACUCCACAUACGCAUCCUUUGCUGAGGAUACGGUUAACGGAGCGAAAGCGACGUUCAACCGCAAAAGAAGCAGAGGGGGCUUAGUGGUGGGGUGACUGCGUACCUUUUGUAUAAUGGGUCAGCGACUUAUAUUCUGUAGCAAGGUUAACCGAAUAGGGGAGCCGGAGGGAAACCGAGUCUUAAUUGGGCGUUAAGUUGCAGGGUAUAGACCCGAAACCCGGUGAUCUAGCCAUGGGCAGGUUGAAGGUUGGGUAACACUAACUGGAGGACCGAACCGACUAAUGUUGAAAAAUUAGCGGAUGACCUGUGGCUGGGGGUGAAAGGCCAAUCAAACCGGGAGAUAGCUGGUUCUCCCCGAAAGCUAUUUAGGUAGCGCCUCGUGAAUUCAUCUCCGGGGGUAGAGCACUGUUUCGGCUAGGGGGCCAUCCCGGCUUACCAACCCGAUGCAAACUGCGAAUACCGGAGAAUGUUAUCACGGGAGACACACGGCGGGUGCUAACGUCCGUCGUGAAGAGGGAAACAACCCAGACCGCCAGCUAAGGUCCCAAAGUCAUGGUUAAGUGGGAAACGAUGUGGGAAGGCCCAGACAGCCAGGAUGUUGGCUUAGAAGCAGCCAUCAUUUAAAGAAAGCGUAAUAGCUCACUGGUCGAGUCGGCCUGCGCGGAAGAUGUAACGGGGCUAAACCAUGCACCGAAGCUGCGGCAGCGACACUGUGUGUUGUUGGGUAGGGGAGCGUUCUGUAAGCCUGUGAAGGUGUGUCGUGAGGCAUGCUGGAGGUAUCAGAAGUGCGAAUGCUGACAUAAGUAACGAUAAAGCGGGUGAAAAGCCCGCUCGCCGGAAGACCAAGGGUUCCUGUCCAACGUUAAUCGGGGCAGGGUGAGUCGACCCCUAAGGCGAGGCCGAAAGGCGUAGUCGAUGGGAAACGGGUUAAUAUUCCCGUACUUGGUGUUACUGCGAAGGGGGGACGGAGAAGGCUAUGUUGGCCGGGCGACGGUUGUCCCGGUUUAAGCGUGUAGGUGUGUGUUCCAGGUAAAUCCGGUUCACUUUAACACUGAGGCGUGACGACGAGGCACUACGGUGCUGAAGCAACAAAUGCCCUGCUUCCAGGAAAAGCCUCUAAGCAUCAGGUAACAUCAAAUCGUACCCCAAACCGACACAGGUGGUCAGGUAGAGAAUACCAAGGCGCUUGAGAGAACUCGGGUGAAGGAACUAGGCAAAAUGGUGCCGUAACUUCGGGAGAAGGCACGCUGACACGUAGGUGAAGUGAUUUACUCAUGGAGCUGAAGUCAGUCGAAGAUACCAGCUGGCUGCAACUGUUUAUUAAAAACACAGCACUGUGCAAACACGAAAGUGGACGUAUACGGUGUGACGCCUGCCCGGUGCCGGAAGGUUAAUUGAUGGGGUCAGCGCAAGCGAAGCUCCUGAUCGAAGCCCCGGUAAACGGCGGCCGUAACUAUAACGGUCCUAAGGUAGCGAAAUUCCUUGUCGGGUAAGUUCCGACCUGCACGAAUGGCGUAAUGAUGGCCAGGCUGUCUCCACCCGAGACUCAGUGAAAUUGAACUCGCUGUGAAGAUGCAGUGUACCCGCGGCAAGACGGAAAGACCCCGUGAACCUUUACUAUAGCUUGACACUGAACAUUGAGCCUUGAUGUGUAGGAUAGGUGGGAGGCUUUGAAGUGUGGACGCCAGUCUGCAUGGAGCCGACCUUGAAAUACCACCCUUUAAUGUUUGAUGUUCUAACGUGGACCCGUUACCCGGGUUGCGGACAGUGUCUGGUGGGUAGUUUGACUGGGGCGGUCUCCUCCUAAAGAGUAACGGAGGAGCACGAAGGUUGGCUAAUCCUGGUCGGACAUCAGGAGGUUAGUGCAAUGGCAUAAGCCAGCUUGACUGCGAGCGUGACGGCGCGAGCAGGUGCGAAAGCAGGUCAUAGUGAUCCGGUGGUUCUGAAUGGAAGGGCCAUCGCUCAACGGAUAAAAGGUACUCCGGGGAUAACAGGCUGAUACCGCCCAAGAGUUCAUAUCGACGGCGGUGUUUGGCACCUCGAUGUCGGCUCAUCACAUCCUGGGGCUGAAGUAGGUCCCAAGGGUAUGGCUGUUCGCCAUUUAAAGUGGUACGCGAGCUGGGUUUAGAACGUCGUGAGACAGUUCGGUCCCUAUCUGCCGUGGGCGCUGGAGAACUGAGGGGGGCUGCUCCUAGUACGAGAGGACCGGAGUGGACGCAUCACUGGUGUUCGGGUUGUCAUGCCAAUGGCACUGCCCGGUAGCUAAAUGCGGAAGAGAUAAGUGCUGAAAGCAUCUAAGCACGAAACUUGCCCCGAG